This is a non-coding RNA of Seminavis robusta, 88 nucleotides long. The record is from the annotation of a GenBank genome assembly. NCBI's taxonomy places the organism in Eukaryota, Bacillariophyta, Bacillariophyceae, Naviculales, Naviculaceae.
GCGCCAUUGGUUUAGUGGUAAAAUUCAACGUUGCCAUCAUACCAGUAGCAACUUCGUUGAGCCCUGGGUUCGAUUCCCAGAUGGCGCA